Molecule: long non-coding RNA, 340 nt
Organism: Salvelinus namaycush (lake trout)
Lineage: Eukaryota; Metazoa; Chordata; Actinopteri; Salmoniformes; Salmonidae
Exons: 3
Source: RefSeq, a predicted model, not a curated record
UACCUGCUAUGCUGAUGAGGUAACAUUAUGCUGAUGAGGUAACUUUAUGCUGAUGAGAUAACAUUAUAAACACUACCAUAUCACCUGCUAUGCUGAUGAGCUAACAGUAUAGACACUACCAUAGAUACCUGUUAUGCUGAUGAGGUAACAUUAUGCUGAUGAGGUAACUUUAUGCUGAUGAGAUAACAUUAUAGACACUACCAUAUCACGUGCUAUGCUGAUGAGCUAACAGUAUAGACACUACCAUAGAUACCUGUUAUGCUGAUGAGGUAACAUUAUGCUGAUGAGGUAACAUUAUAGACACUACCAUAGAUACCUGCUAUGCUGAUGAGGUAACAUU